RNAcentral lists this ribosomal RNA (113 nucleotides) under Silene vulgaris (bladder campion). The record is from RNAcentral. Lineage: Eukaryota; Viridiplantae; Streptophyta; Magnoliopsida; Caryophyllales; Caryophyllaceae.
AAACCGGGCACUACAGUGAGACGAGACAAGACCCGAGCCCACUCCGAUCUCGAGAUGUCAAACCGUCUUGCGCCAUAUGUACUGAGAUUAUUCGGGAGACGUGGUGAAAGCCC